RNAcentral lists this long non-coding RNA (1601 nucleotides) under Mus musculus (house mouse). RNAcentral's name for it is "long non-coding RNA chr11:66561830-66563431". The record is from RNAcentral. Lineage: Eukaryota; Metazoa; Chordata; Mammalia; Rodentia; Muridae.
GAGACAAAUGACCGAUACGCAAACAAAUAAAUGUUAUCCAGGGUAAUAAAUGUUGAGCAAAGUGCUAAGGGAACAGUGACAGGGGACAGUUUAUUCUGCCCAGGCACAGGAAAGUGAGGAGGCAUUCUUCAGACAGUGGGGAAGCAUGCCAAGUUUGUUUGUUUGGUGAGAUGUGUUUCUAUUUGAGUUGCCUCUUUGAAUGAUAGAGUAUCUAUGAAGAAAAAAGAUGGUGUGAUAUCGUAAACAAAAACAGGCCCCAGAAGGAGCUCAGUGAGUCUGGAGAAUGAUGAGUGAGAGUCAGAAAAAAAAAAAACUGGCUGUAGUUCCACUGGGUUGAUAAACCUCCAGGUCACGGAGGAUUCUGUUCUACACAUUACAGCAGUGGCAAGAUAAUGGAGGACUUUUAGGAUGCCCUGGACCAGAUCAGAUUUCAGUCUUGGAAAACAAUUCCACGGGUGGUUCAGGGGAUGGAUGUAUAAAGGAGCCCAGAGAGUCCAAAAGCAUAAAAAUCAAUAAAACAACUAUAAUAAUAUACAGGGAAAUAAAUGCUUGGCUAGAGUUGUUCCAGGGUGGGUGCAGAGGAGAAUGAGUCUGGGAGCGAGAUGGAGUCAGAACUGACAAGGUUCAGUGCUGAUUGCGUGUGACAGCUGGAUUCCUCCAACUCCUACCCCGGAGUAAAGCUGAUGUAAUGUUCACUGUGGUUACGAAGCUAAUACUCCAACCUGCCAGUCAUGGACCACUGGUCUCUUCUUGGCUGCCUAAUGGGUUUAAUUUCUACUUCUGCCACGUUCACAGUCUGCCAUUAUUAUAUCACUGGACGUUUAUCUUCCAAAGCUAAUUAAGAAUUAAAUUGUGUCCCUUCUCAUCAAAAUCCACAUGCAGGAGUCCUAACCCGAUAACCCAGAAUAUAUGCUUGCCCCAAUAUAGAGUCAUGAUUGAAGGAUUCAAGCAAGAUAAGGUCCUAUAUGAAAAGGAGAAUUGAAGAUCUAGAUGUCCAUACAGGAAGAGUUCCAAGUGAGGAAGGCAAAGGUCAGGGAGAUUCCCCCUCCAAUCUACACUGGUAGCCAGCAAGUCUCCAGGAAUAUAAAUUAACACAUUGCUGCCCGGAAAGGGAAGCCACAGCAAAGUAAACACUGGGCUGCACUCAAGCACUUCCCAUAAGAGGUUAUUGCUGUUCUCUGUGAGCCCCUCAAACCCAGUCAGCUUUUCACAGCAACAGGUUUUUACUGAUCACUUAACCUACAUCAGAGCUUCCCAGUUACAAGACUUUGUUCUCUUGUCUUCACAGUGUUUAAUGCUACCUUAUGAUCACUAUUAAUGUAAUGUAAUAUUUGAUAUACCCCUCCCCCACCUCUCACCCCAGACACAGCUUACCCUGCUGCCCUUAGAAUAUACAUUCCAGGACACUGAGAUGCUUCUUGGUAUUUGCUAUAUCUUUAAAUACUUGGAGCAGUAGUUCUCAACCUGUGGCUUGUUGAACCUUUGGGAAUCAAAUGACCCUUUCACGGCAGGGGGUGGGGGUGGGGGGAAGUCUCAUCUCAUAUCAGAUAUCUUGCAUAUCAGAUGUUUAUGUUAUGGUUCAUAAUACUAGCAAAAUCACA